UAACAUCAGAGGUCGUGGAGAGUCUCCAUCCAGCUGGAUCUCUGUCACAGGGAAAUCUACCACCCCCUCUCCUCCUGAUUCCUUCUCUUCCUCACCCACCUCUCUUCCUGGUUCUGCCUCUCCUCUCUCUGUGUUGUGGUCUGCUUUUCUAUCUUUCUAUCUUCUGGUUGUUGUGGUUGUUCUGGUUCUACUGGUUCUACUGGUGAGACGAUGCCUCCACAGGAAACCUAAAGCUGCUGAAGUAGAAGUUGAAGAUGAUGACAUCACAGAUGGCAUCGCAUACUGUGAUGUCAAAAUAUCAAGUCACCUACAGCAGCCAAUCAGAGGCAGCAGAGAGUUUCCAGCAGAGCCAGAGGUCGUCUACUCUUCACUGAGGUAGACCUUCACACCUUCACACCAGUCCAACCGCUGAUGUCCAGCUGGCCUGGAACUGGUCCCCAGAGCCCCUCACACCUCAGCACAUCCAUGUAUUAGAUUUCACUGUUAAAACUAAAUUAGACUCAGACAGCUACAAAGAGACAAACAGCUCAGGUUUACUGAAUGUUCUUAACAUUUUAAGAUGUGUUUUUGGUAUAAAAGCAGUGACAUAAAAUGUAAGGAUUAAAUAAAUAGUUUUCCCUGUGUAAAAGAAGGUUUUUCAGUGAGUUGCACAGCACUGACAUGAUACUUGUUUCCUAUAUUUCUCCUGAACAAGAUCUAAUGGUAACUUCCAGUUUAAUGUAAUAUCUAACUUGACUGUUUUUUAUAAUUUAUUAUUGUUUUUUUCUUCUUAUUGCAACUUGUCUCUCUACAGGAUCGAUAAACUUUGGUCUAAUUCUUGUUUUUCUCCUGUGGUUUUCUUGGUUUCACAAUGCUGUCGUAGGGGAAAACCUGACCUUCUGGUUUGGAUGUGGCGACACACACCUCUCAUCAGAUAAUAGAUAACUAAGAAGAAACAAAACCACACACACAUCUGAACAGCAUCAUGCAGCUUCAGUACUAUACGAGGUGCGAGUUUUUGAUUCUUUAGUCGGUGAUCUAUCAAGAUUUAGUCUGUAAAGUUUCUUCUCUCUGAGUUGAGAAGCUGUUUAAACAUCACACAUCAUAUAAAUCAGCAGGUCCUAGUUUUCAUGAGACUCAGAAACAGAGAAAUUAUAUGUCAGUCAGGUUCCCAUUUAAACACUGACACAGGCUUUCCUGCUUCUGCAACAACAACAAUGUUGUAAUCGUCCUGUUUAUACCGGACAUUAAGAGAUCUCUUCCCAAUGUGCUGAAAUCUAUAUUAAACUUGAUGUGAAGUUAACAUGAGA
Molecule: long non-coding RNA, 1289 nt
Organism: Micropterus dolomieu (smallmouth bass)
Lineage: Eukaryota; Metazoa; Chordata; Actinopteri; Centrarchiformes; Centrarchidae
Exons: 4
Source: RefSeq, a predicted model, not a curated record